AUUGAACGCUGGCGGCAGGCCUAACACAUGCAAGUCGAACGGUAACAGGAAGAAGCUUGCUUCUUUGCUGACGCGUGGCGGACGGGUGAGUAAUGUCUGGGAAACUGCCUGAUGGAGGGGGAUAACUACUGGAAACGGUAGCUAAUACCGCAUAACGUCGCAAGACCAAAGAGGGGGACCUUCGGGCCUCUUGCCAUCGGAUGUGCCCAGAUGGGGUUAGCUAGUUGGCGGGGUAACGGCACACCAAGGCGACGCUCCCUAGCUGGUCUGAGAGGAUGAUCAGCCACACUGGAACUGAGACACGGUCCAGACUCCUACGGGAGGCAGCAGUGGGGAAUAUUGGACAAGGGGCGCAAGCAUGAUCCAGCCAUACCGCGUGGGUGAAGAAGGCCUUCGGGUUGUAAAGCCCUUUUGUUGGGAAAGAAAAGCAGCAGGUUAAUACCCCGCUGUUCUGACGGUACCAAAAGAAUAAGCACCGGCUAACUUCGUG
Molecule: ribosomal RNA, 490 nt
Filed under: uncultured bacterium
Lineage: Bacteria
Description: partial 16S ribosomal RNA
Rfam family: Bacterial small subunit ribosomal RNA
Source: RNAcentral